Non-coding RNA from Cinara cedri, 260 nucleotides. NCBI's taxonomy places the organism in Eukaryota, Metazoa, Arthropoda, Insecta, Hemiptera, Aphididae. The record is from the annotation of a GenBank genome assembly.
CGAAAAAUAAAUUUUUUUAUUUAUACCUACAAUAAAAAAAAAAAAAAAAUGAGUUGAUACUGCUAAUAGAUACACAACAAUAAAUCUUUGCUAACGAAAUGCGAUUCUGAGCGAAGUUCGAUUGCACAUUUUCCGAGAUGCUGUUUUUUACGAUUAUUUUCAACAUUUGAUCUUAAAACGGUUACACAAUAAAAAAACCUUCUUCCCUCUUUAGUUAUUCUCCCAAUGGCGAUGUUGUUUCCGGGUCGUUGUGCGACUUU